RNAcentral lists this ribosomal RNA (309 nucleotides) under uncultured bacterium. RNAcentral's name for it is "bacterial SSU rRNA". It matches the Rfam family "Bacterial small subunit ribosomal RNA", at positions 504 to 812 of the family's 1533-position model. The record is from RNAcentral.
CGUGCCAGCAGCCGCGGUAAUACGUAGGUGGCAAGCGUUGUCCGGAUUUGUUGGGCGUAAAGCGAGCGCAGGCGGAAGAAUAAGUCUGAUGUGAAAGCCCUCGGCUUAACCGAGGAACUGCAUCGGAAACUGUUUUUCUUGAGUGCAGAAGAGGAGAGUGGAACUCCAUGUGUAGCGGUGGAAUGCGUAGAUAUAUGGAAGAACACCAGUGGCGAAGGCGGCUCUCUGGUCUGCAACUGACGCUGAGGCUCGAAAGCAUGGGUAGCGAACAGGAUUAGAUACCCUGGUAGUCCACGCCGUAAACGAUGA